RNAcentral lists this ribosomal RNA (253 nucleotides) under uncultured bacterium. RNAcentral's name for it is "partial 16S ribosomal RNA". It matches the Rfam family "Bacterial small subunit ribosomal RNA", at positions 524 to 776 of the family's 1533-position model. The record is from RNAcentral.
UACAGAGGGUGCGAGCGUUGUUCGGAAUUACUGGGCGUAAAGCGCACGUAGGCGGAUUUGUAAGUCAGGGGUGAAAUCCCGGGGCUCAACCUCGGAACUGCCUUUGAUACUGCAAAUCUCGAGUCCGGAAGAGGUGGGUGGAAUUCCUAGUGUAGAGGUGAAAUUCGUAGAUAUUCGCAAGAACACCAGUGGCGAAGGCGGCUCACUGGCCCGAUACUGACGCUGAGGCACGAAAGCGUGGGGAGCAAACAGG